Molecule: long non-coding RNA, 1419 nt
Organism: Pezoporus flaviventris
Lineage: Eukaryota; Metazoa; Chordata; Aves; Psittaciformes; Psittacidae
Exons: 2
Source: RefSeq, a predicted model, not a curated record
CUCAGUGACACUCAGCUGAAACCCAGAAAUCUCCAGUGGUAUCUCAGAGCUCUGCCCAACCUGGGAAAGGACCGGGAGAGCCUUUGCAGGGUUUCCCAAUGGAGCGAUGAUCCAGACAGCACAGCUUUGUGCUUUAUCCUUGUGCUGCUCUUUCCAAUGUGACUGCUUGAAAACACACAUCGCCCACUCACCACUGCCAGCAGAACCACCAAAACCUGCUGUGCCCUUCCUUAUGGAAGGAAUGCAUCCCAGAACGUGAAACACACACUGAGACUGAAAGAGGGAAAGGAAAACAGACCACAGCUUCCAGAACCUGCAAGAGGAAAGAGGAUCCCAAGGAUGCAGUCCUGUGUUCGCUAAUAGUUUCCACCAAACAGCGUCUCUAAGAAGCCAAGACCAUAAAGGAACUGUGUAUAUGCACAUGUAUGAACAUGCAUAAUUAAAGGGGUCUACAGUGAUUUAAGGCAGGUGAGGACUGAAGCUACACAAGCCACGCAAUCUUGCAUCUACACACAUAUACUAAAUUUAGGUUAAGUGGCUUAAAUUUGGCUUAAGCAGAAUACGCCUUUCAUCCCUCCUGAUUUCAUCGACUAGUUCAUUGUCAGAUGCUCUGUCUCUAUUAGUGGGGAAGCAAAGCAGUGUGUUUUAAGAUUUCUCCCACUGUUGCGAGUCCAAACUUCCUCCAGAUUUUAGCUUGUUUGCAAGAGAUUGAGUAAAAUGAAGAUUUUUUCCUUUUAGGUCAACAUUUUCUUCUGGCAGACUGAGCCUGAAGUGCACUUUAUUUCCCUUUAAUUUAACAGCUCCAGCAGCUUUUCCAGUUAAAUCGACUGUUCAUUAUUGAGCCCAUUUAUGAAGGGCUGUGCAGUGCAGUUUAAUGAAUCCCUGGCACAAAGCUCCCUUUCAGCGUAGGGAAAGAAUAGCAGCCUAUUUAGGUCCUGUAGGGCUGUAUGUCAAAGGCUGCCUAUAAUACUUGUCAGGGAAGGGCAGAAAUUCCCACUGAUAUAAGAAUGUGCAAGAAAUCAACUUGCACAACCAACUUGCCGAUUAAGACGCGAUCAGGAAAUGAGUCUGCUCCCCAGUGCGGGUGGAGGACACAAAGGCGAGGAAAAGAGAUGUUCCAGUGAAGCAAUGCUGCUACCAAAACUUAAAGAGUCCUGAGGUCGAACAGCGUCUUGCAGGAUCUUGCAAACAGCAACUGACAGCGGUGCUGAAGCGAUGGUGUACGCUGGGGACAGAACCGCACCGUGCUGCGGGGAAGUGAUUCCUACAGACCACUGGAUUCCUUCCAGGAACGUGUCAGAGCUCGGAAGGCGCCGCGGCUCGGUCUCACCGUGUACAGGAGAUGAUUUGAUAAUCAUUUAAGUUAUGUAAAAGAGUCUAUGAUAGGUCCUAUAAAAAUAAAGCUACACAAUAGAUCUG